RNAcentral lists this ribosomal RNA (253 nucleotides) under uncultured bacterium. RNAcentral describes it as "partial 16S ribosomal RNA". It matches the Rfam family "Bacterial small subunit ribosomal RNA", at positions 524 to 776 of the family's 1533-position model. The record is from RNAcentral.
UACGUAGGUGGCAAGCGUUGUCCGGAAUUAUUGGGCGUAAAGCGCGCGCAGGUGGUUCCUUAAGUCGGAUGUGAAAGCCCUCGGCUCAACCAAGGAAGUGCAUCCGAAACUGCUGAGCUUGAGUACUUAAGAGGAUCGCGGAAUUCCCGGUGUAGAGGUGAAAUUCGUAGAUAUCGGGAGGAACACCAGUGGCGAAGGCGGCGAUCUGGGAAGAUACUGACGCUGAGGUGCGAAAGCGUGGGGAGCAAACAGG